CUGGGUGACGCUCUUUUGACAGAGCCCUGUUUGAGAGCUUGCUGAGGUUUCACACAGGAGUGCUAACCCCGCCUUCAGACCUCAAACCCUGUUUUUGCUGGUCGUGAGAAUAGCCUCAUAGUAUACCUGGACUUUCAAAAAGCUUUCAACCAAAAUUCCUCAUCAGAGAUUCUUGAGAAAUCCUAGCAGUCAUGGGAGAAGGGGACAGGUUUAUGUGUGGAUUGGUAACUGGACGAAGGGCAGGAAACAGAAAGUAGGAAUAAACUGACAGUUUUCUAAAUGGAGGGAAGUAAGAAGUGGGGUACCCCAGGGAUCUGUACUGCGAGCAGUGAGUAUUGGGACCAGUGCCCUUUAACUUGGUCAUAAAUGAUCUAGCACUUGGGGUAAGCAGCAAAGUGGGCAAAUUUGCAGAUGACACUAAACUAUUUAGGGUAGUAAUAUCCAAAACAGAUUGUGAGGAGCUCCAAACUGAGGGAGUGGGAGACAAAAUGGCAAAUGUGGUUCAGUAAAGUGAUGCAUAUUGGGGCAAUGAUAGGGUUUGAGCUGUCAGUUACUUGCCAGGAGAGGGAUCAUGGGAUCAUGGUGGGCAGCUUGCUGAAAGUAUCAACUUAAUGUGUGGCAGCUGUGAGAAAGGCAAAUUCCAUGCUUGGAAUCAUUAGGAAGGGGGUCAAAAAUGAAAAUGCUAAUAUUGUAAUGCCCUUGUACAAAAAUGUGGUGCGGCCACAUUUGGAGCACACAGUUUUUGUCACCAUAUCUUAAGAAAAACACCUUCCUUACAAGGCAAGGCUACAACACCUGGGGCUUUUUAGUGUAGAAAAAAAAAGAUAAAUGAGGGACAACAUGAUAGAGAGCUAUAAAGUCAUGCAUGAUGUGGAGAAAGUUGAUAGAGAAAUUUUUCUCCCUUUUGCAUAAUACUGGAACCAGGGGUCAUCCCAUGAAGCUGAUUGCCAAGAAAUUUAGGACUGACAAAAGGAAGAACUUUUUACACAACAUAUAAUCAACCUAUGGAAUCAUCUGCCACAAAAUGUGGUGACUGCCAACAGCCUGGAUGGCUUUAAGUGGUGUUUAGAUAAAUUUAUGGAGGGCGGAUCUAUAAAUGGCUACUAGUCUGAAGGCUAUAGGCUACCUCCAGCCUCAGAGGCAAAAUGCCUCUAAAUACCAGUGGAGGACAUGAGUGGCACCUCUUGCUUGUGGGCUAUCCAGAGGUUUCCGGUGGGCCACUGUGUAAAACAAGAUGCUAGACUAAAUGGGCCUUGGGCCUGAUCCAGUAGUUCUGUUCUUAUGCCCUGGAACUGGCUGCUGUGCAGCUUCCUAACAAAGGGGCCUGUUUCUUCUGGGAGCUUGGUUGUAGCAGAGCAAUCAUUCCUGUGAUUGCCUGGAGAUGCUCUCAGUCUACUUGUUAAGUAGGAAGUUUCUGUCCUUGGGUCAAGCAUCAGAGUGGGUUGAUUGACAGGCACAUCAUCAUGUAGAAGUCAACUAGAGAGUAACUCAAGGCACAAUGGAAUCACUGAAUAAAAGCAGAGCAAAACAGAGGGAGCCUGUUCAUUCCUCCUAUACAGUCUUAAGAGAACACCUUCUUUGUUAUGAACCCUGCUGCCUAUUAAGAUCUUCAGAGGAGAUACCUCACAUCUGACUUUCACUGAAAUGCAGCCACUGAAUCCAUGUAGCAAAAGUCAAAAUUCAACCUUGAAAUCCACCAUAUUGGAACUGCAUUUUGACACCAACAUCCAACAUCUAUCAUUGAAACAUUCACAUGGAGAAGACUUCUAAUUUCAUCCAUUCCUACAUAUAUUUAUUCAAAAUCUAGUACAAAAUGUGUUAAUUUUUUUUGCUCUUGUUGCAAGCCUGUGGUCAAAUGCAAACUGCACCUCGUGUCAACUGUCAAAAUUUGAAAAUACAGAGACCUGGUCUAUGCAAGCAGCAAGAGGGAGUGUAGUAGCAGAGGCUUGAAGUACUAGAAUGGAUUGUACCUCUGCAGAUUGCAGAUGGGAGAUCACAGGUUUGAAUACUCUCUCUCUCUCUCUUUCUCUCUCUCUCUCGUCUAUCUGUCUAACACCCUAGUCAGAAAGGAGGAGGCUAUAACACUUUCCCCACAUGUACCAGGGGUUUAUUGAUUAUUUUUACUUGCAGAAAAUGGUGUUGGUGUUUAACACAGGGGAGCAUUCAGAAAUCAUACCUUCAUUUUGCUGCCUAAAGUGGUCUUGUCCAGUCCUGAACUAGUAGAUUGUAUCACUUCAUUCUGCACUACAUGUUGGUUGGUUGCUAUUGCAAAAUGCUAAUGAUAUUGCCAGUGUUCAUAAUUACCUGGUUGUUAUACAAACUUCUUCAACUCAUAAAGCUUGUUCACAUUAUCAAAUAUGGUAAUGUGAUUCCCUAAGGUUUCCCCUCAGGUCAGUAUCUAAUCCAUUCGCCUUCCUCUUGCUCUGCUUUGAAUCCUCUCAUGUAAGUGUCCUACAUAUCAAGGACCCUGGGAAAAUUAAAUUUAUGAGGGUGCCGGAGUUCUUAGUAUGGAUGUUGGUCAUGCUAGAAACUACAUAUUUCAGGGUUUGGGGGAAAUGCAAGUUAUUUUUCAGCAUUUUGAGGAAAAAUAGCUCAGUUUGCCAAUCACUACAAAAUAUCAUUGCAAAACCACUAUCAAAUACUGUCAGAUACCAACUGUCAAUAUCAGUCAAACAGUGAAAUCAAAUAUUGUCAAAUGCUAACGUUGAAUUUCAAAUAUUUACUUAAUAUGUACACAUUCCAGAGACAAUUUAUCAUCAACAUUUGAAUAGGAGAAUUACUUGAGACAAUUUAGUUUCAGCUCUGACUGAUGGUGUUGGAUACUGAUUCUGUCCUCUCAACAGAAUCACCAUGAAGCAUAGUUAUGGGUUGCUGAUAGGCCACCAACAUCUUUUAAAUAAUUGCCUCAUCACAGUGAAAUAAGCUGUUGUUUAAUGGAAUAUGAAUAAAUCUAAAGCCUUUUGCUAAGACUGUGAGUGGGUUAUAUAUGUAUGAUGGCUAUAUUAAUCUUUAAAAACAAAACAAUUAAAGCAUAAAUGUUAAGUAGGGUCACUCAGGUCAAUCAAAGCUGAAGUUUGUACCAGAUGAAUACUCCAUAAGGAACAGUAAUUUGAUUUUCUAGAUCACAACUUUAUUCACACCUCAUUACAAUUUGCCUGCAAUAGAAUUAUAAAUAGUUGCAUAACAUUUACUUUUCUGUUAAUAAAGUUUGAUGUUUUCUGUUAUA
Hemicordylus capensis (graceful crag lizard) is the source of this 3226-nucleotide long non-coding RNA. RefSeq lists it as uncharacterized. The record is from RefSeq and is a predicted model, not a curated record. The transcript is spliced from 4 exons. Lineage: Eukaryota; Metazoa; Chordata; Lepidosauria; Squamata; Cordylidae.